GGGAUACGAGCUUCACUCCAAACCCAAUGUGAACCAUACCAAACUGUUGCCUCGGCGGGGUCACGCCCCGGGUGCGUCGCAGCCCCGGAACCAGGCGCCCGCCGGAGGGACCAACCAAACUCUUUCUGUAGUCCCCUCGCGGACGUUAUUUCUUACAGCUCUGAGCAAAAAUUCAAAAUGAAUCAAAACUUUCAACAACGGAUCUCUUGGUUCUGGCAUCGAUGAAGAACGCAGCGAAAUGCGAUAAGUAAUGUGAAUUGCAGAAUUCAGUGAAUCAUCGAAUCUUUGAACGCACAUUGCGCCCGCCAGUAUUCUGGCGGGCAUGCCUGUCCGAGCGUCAUUUCAACCCUCGAACCCCUCCGGGGGUCCGGCGUUGGGGAUCGGGAACCCCUAAGACGGGAUCCCGGCCCCGAAAUACAGUGGCGGUCUCGCCGCAGCCUCUCAUGCGCAGUAGUUUGCACAACUCGCACCGGGAGCGCGGCGCGUCCACGUCCGUAAAACACCCAACUUCUGAAAUGUUGACCUCGGAUCAGGUAGGAAUACCCGCUGAACUUAAGCAUAUCAUAGGCGGGGGAGGGAA
Molecule: ribosomal RNA, 580 nt
Filed under: Trichoderma paraviridescens
Lineage: Eukaryota; Fungi; Ascomycota; Sordariomycetes; Hypocreales; Hypocreaceae
Description: eukaryotic LSU rRNA
Rfam family: 5.8S ribosomal RNA (bases 187-340)
Source: RNAcentral